This 880-nucleotide ribosomal RNA is filed under the name Frutilla phytoplasma. Its description in RNAcentral is "bacterial SSU rRNA". It matches the Rfam family "Bacterial small subunit ribosomal RNA", at positions 366 to 1254 of the family's 1533-position model. The record is from RNAcentral. Lineage: Bacteria; Bacillati; Mycoplasmatota; Mollicutes; Acholeplasmatales; Acholeplasmataceae.
CGGCAAUGGAGGAAACUCUGACCGAGCAACGCCGCGUGAACGAUGAAGUACCUCGGUAUGUAAAGUUCUUUUAUUAAGGAAGAAAAAAGAGUGGAAAAACUCCCUUGACGGUACUUAAUGAAUAAGCCCCGGCUAAUUAUGUGCCAGCAGCCGCGGUAAUACAUAAGGGGCGAGCGUUAUCCGGAAUUAUUGGGCGUAAAGGGUGCGUAGGCGGUUUAAUAAGUCUAUAGUUUAAUUUCAGUGCUUAACGCUGUUGUGCUAUAGAAACUGUUUUACUAGAGUGAGAUAGAGGCAAGCGGAAUUCCAUGUGUAGCGGUAAAAUGCGUAAAUAUAUGGAGGAACACCAGAGGCGUAGGCGGCUUGCUGGGUCUUUACUGACGCUGAGGCACGAAAGCGUGGGGAGCAAACAGGAUUAGAUACCCUGGUAGUCCACGCCGUAAACGAUGAGUACUAAGUGUCGGGUAAAACCGGUACUGAAGUUAACACAUUAAGUACUCCGCCUGAGUAGUACGUACGCAAGUAUGAAACUUAAAGGAAUUGACCGGGACUCCGCACAAGCGGUGGAUCAUGUUGUUUAAUUCGAAGAUACACGAAAAACCUUACCAGGUCUUGACAUUUUCUUGCGAAGUUAUAGAAAUAUAAUGGAGGUUAUCAGGAAAACAGGUGGUGCAUGGUUGUCGUCAGCUCGUGUCGUGAGAUGUUAGGUUAAGUCCUAAAACGAGCGCAACCCUUGUCGUUAAUUGCCAGCAUGUAAUGAUGGGGACUUUAACGAGACUGCCAAUGAAAAAUUGGAGGAAGGUGGGGAUUACGUCAAAUCAUCAUGCCCCUUAUGAUCUGGGCUACAAACGUGAUACAAUGGUUGAUACAAAGAGUAGCUGAA